AUCUCUGCGCACAGGAAGCCUGUUCGAGCGCAUCCUCAACAUUCCAUACGGUAGUAGCGACAGAGCGCCCGGAAUAUUCUAGCUUGGAUAGAAGAAUGGAGGACAGAACAAAGGGAAGGAGUACAGAAGUUAUCCAGCCUGCUGACUAAGAAAUUUCCUGAAACAUGUCAACGACCUGAUGCAUGGCCUCUACAGCAGUGCUUGGCCACCCACUCAGUUACCAGUGACCUAUUCUGCCACAUCCCAGGGAAAGGAGAGAGCAGAACCACCUCUCCUUAAAUACAUACUAAUUGACAGUACGUUUUGUGCAAAAUGGUGAUGUUCGAUACUCUGAUCUUCAAUGUGUAUUGAUUCCUACUAGCCAGCUUUUAAAGAGCUAGGUUUGUACUAGCUAUGCUGAUGAUCAUUAACGUUUUUUCUCUGCAUCAGGUCUCACUGAGACUGUAUUCCC
Long non-coding RNA from Coregonus clupeaformis (lake whitefish), 451 nucleotides. RefSeq lists it as uncharacterized. Lineage: Eukaryota; Metazoa; Chordata; Actinopteri; Salmoniformes; Salmonidae. The record is from RefSeq and is a predicted model, not a curated record. The transcript is spliced from 3 exons.